Molecule: ribosomal RNA, 253 nt
Filed under: uncultured bacterium
Lineage: Bacteria
Description: partial 16S ribosomal RNA
Rfam family: Bacterial small subunit ribosomal RNA
Source: RNAcentral
UACGUAGGGUGCAAGCGUUGUCCGGAAUUAUUGGGCGUAAAGAGCUCGUAGGCGGUUUGUCGCGUCGAAUGUGAAAACCCGGGGCUCAACCCCGGGCCUGCAUUCGAUACGGGCAGACUAGAGUUCGGUAGGGGAGUCUGGAAUUCCUGGUGUAGCGGUGAAAUGCGCAGAUAUCAGGAGGAACACCGGUGGCGAAGGCGGGAUCUCUGGGCCGAUACUGACGCUGAGGACGAAAGCGUGGGGAGCAAACAGG